AUGGGCAGGGCGAGGCAGGAGCAGCCGCUCCCUCAAACCCGCAGCUUCCCCCUUCUUCUUCCUCUUUUUUUUUUUUUUUUUUUUUCUUCGUCUCUUGGUUUAAACCCCUCCGGGCUUGAGUUGUGGGUGAGGAGCCUGCGGGAAAGUGUCAGGAAACCAAAACAACCCAAGAAAUCGCCGUGCUCCUUACCGCUCAGCAGUCCCCUUGCCGGCGCGCCCCCUGCUCCUUCCCCGCCCCGCCACGUCGGCAGCAGCGGGGGGAGGAGGAAGCGAUGGCCGGGCGGCCAUGGGCCGGCUCUGCUGUGCUGUGCUGUGCCGGGCCGCUGGGAGGAGGGAGGGCUCUUCCCUCAGUCCUUCUCCCUCACGUCCCUCCAAAGCGGCUGCCUGUUGUGCCCAGGGCUGGAGGCUAUGCCGGCAGCACUGCCCCGCCGCAGGCAGAGUCACCCCAGCCACCAUUACCAACCCCUUACAGCCCCGCUUGUCUCAGGAGGCAGAAAGGGGCUGAAAUAUGCGGCUGUAGGAUUACACUGCUGGGAGUUGGCCUUUCAGGUGACACCCUGCACCUUGGCUGCAUAUCUAGGAAAUGCAGCCGAAAGUAGCUGGGAGGUGCGUACACAAACUUCCAGCAAAGCAUACCCUCUUGCAGUUCCAGGAUUUGUUGCGGCAUCGUUUCUGUCACCAGACUUCCUUUGCUGGAAAAAAAAAAAAAAUUGCUGUUGGUACAGGAAGCAUAACAAAACUUCUUAUGAAUCACUGAGGAGAGCUGCUGUAGGAGGUCAUGAAGUAAAACCUCAGUUCUCAGAAGCGUGCCUCACAAAUGAGGAUAAAGCUCCAUGACUUAGCAAAACAAUCUGAAGUAUCCCAUUAAGGAUAAGAACAAAGACGGAUGGAUAAAUAUUGAGCAUUGGCAAGGAACCAU
This 919-nucleotide long non-coding RNA is filed under the name Anas platyrhynchos (mallard). RNAcentral describes it as "lncRNA (ENSAPLG00020015649.1)". The record is from RNAcentral. Lineage: Eukaryota; Metazoa; Chordata; Aves; Anseriformes; Anatidae.